UAAUACAGGGGGCUCGAGCGUUAGUCGGAAUCACUGGGCUUAAAGGGUGCGUAGGUGGCUCGCCAAGUGUUUUGUGAAAUCCCACAGCUCAACUGUGGAACAGCAGGGCAAACUGGCGAGCUUGAGGCAGGUAGGGGCCGGAAGAACAGUAGGUGGAGCGGUGAAAUGCGUAGAUAUCUACUGGAAUGCCGAUGGGGAAGCCGUCCGGCUGGGCCUGUCCUGACACUGAGGCACGAAAGCGUGGGGAGCAAACAGG
RNAcentral lists this ribosomal RNA (256 nucleotides) under uncultured bacterium. RNAcentral's name for it is "partial 16S ribosomal RNA". It matches the Rfam family "Bacterial small subunit ribosomal RNA", at positions 521 to 776 of the family's 1533-position model. The record is from RNAcentral.